UGGNUCAGAUUGAACGCUGGCGGCAGGCCUAACACAUGCAAGUCGAGCGGUAGAGAGAAGCUUGCUUCUCUUGAGAGCGGCGGACGGGUGAGUAAUGCCUAGGAAUCUGCCUGGUAGUGGGGGAUAACGUUCGGAAACGGACGCUAAUACCGCAUACGUCCUACGGGAGAAAGCAGGGGACCUUCGGGCCUUGCGCUAUCAGAUGAGCCUAGGUCGGAUUAGCUAGUUGGUGGGGUAAUGGCUCACCAAGGCGACGAUCCGUAACUGGUCUGAGAGGAUGAUCAGUCACACUGGAACUGAGACACGGUCCAGACUCCUACGGGAGGCAGCAGUGGGGAAUAUUGGACAAUGGGCGAAAGCCUGAUCCAGCCAUGCCGCGUGUGUGAAGAAGGUCUUCGGAUUGUAAAGCACUUUAAGUUGGGAGGAAGGGUUGUAGAUUAAUACUCUGCAAUUUUGACGUUACCGACAGAAUAAGCACCGGCUAACUCUGUGCCAGCAGCCGCGGUAAUACAGAGGGUGCAAGCGUUAAUCGGAAUUACUGGGCGUAAAGCGCGCGUAGGUGGUUUGUUAAGUUGGAUGUGAAAUCCCCGGGCUCAACCUGGGAACUGCAUUCAAAACUGACUGACUAGAGUAUGGUAGAGGGUGGUGGAAUUUCCUGUGUAGCGGUGAAAUGCGUAGAUAUAGGAAGGAACACCAGUGGCGAAGGCGACCACCUGGACUAAUACUGACACUGAGGUGCGAAAGCGUGGGGAGCAAACAGGAUUAGAUACCCUGGUAGUCCACGCCGUAAACGAUGUCAACUAGCCGUUGGAAGCCUUGAGCUUUUAGUGGCGCAGCUAACGCAUUAAGUGACCGC
This 856-nucleotide ribosomal RNA is filed under the name gamma proteobacterium 7.1.14_S. RNAcentral describes it as "bacterial SSU rRNA". It matches the Rfam family "Bacterial small subunit ribosomal RNA", at positions 20 to 872 of the family's 1533-position model. The record is from RNAcentral. Lineage: Bacteria; Pseudomonadati; Pseudomonadota; Gammaproteobacteria.